RNAcentral lists this unclassified non-coding RNA (300 nucleotides) under Virgaria nigra. Its description in RNAcentral is "partial internal transcribed spacer region". The stretch from base 1 to 46 matches the Rfam family "Eukaryotic small subunit ribosomal RNA", at positions 1786 to 1831 of the family's 1831-position model. Lineage: Eukaryota; Fungi; Ascomycota. The record is from RNAcentral.
AAGUCGUAACAAGGUCUCCGUUGGUGAACCAGCGGAGGGAUCAUUACAGAGUUGCAAAACUCCAAACCCAUGUGAACAUACCUCGUGUUGCCUCGGCGGCGAGCGAAGUGCUCGGGAGGUGCCUACCCGGUACCUACCCGGUAGCUACCCUGUAGCCUCCUACCCUGGAGCUGCGAGGUACCUACCCUGGAGCACAUGCGCAUCCGCCGGAGGACCACUCAAACUCUUGUUUCUGUGUGGCACAUCUGAGUAAUUAUACUUAAUAAGUCAAAACUUUCAACAACGGAUCUCUUGGUUCUG